Molecule: ribosomal RNA, 1343 nt
Filed under: uncultured bacterium
Lineage: Bacteria
Description: bacterial SSU rRNA
Rfam family: Bacterial small subunit ribosomal RNA
Source: RNAcentral
GACGAACGCUGGCGGCGUGCCUAACACAUGCAAGUCGAACGGAAGUUAGAGCUUCGGUUUUAACUUUAGUGGCGAACGGGUGAGUAACGCGUGAGGAACCUGCCUUUCAGUGGGGGACAACAGUUGGAAACGACUGCUAAUACCGCAUGACACUUUUGGGAGACAUCUCCUGAAAGUCAAAGCUUUAUGUGCUGAAAGAUGGCCUCGCGUCUGAUUAGCUAGUUGGUGAGGUAACGGCUCACCAAGGCGACGAUCAGUAGCCGGUCUGAGAGGAUGAACGGCCACAUUGGGACUGAGAUACGGCCCAGACUCCUACGGGAGGCAGCAGUGGGGAAUAUUGGGCAAUGGGGGAAACCCUGACCCAGCAACGCCGCGUGAAGGAAGAAGGCCUUCGGGUUGUAAACUUCUUUUACCAGGGACGAAGGACGUGACGGUACCUGGAGAAAAAGCAACGGCUAACUACGUGCCAGCAGCCGCGGUAAUACGUAGGUUGCAAGCGUUGUCCGGAUUUACUGGGUGUAAAGGGCGUGUAGGCGGAGGUGCAAGUUGGGAGUGAAAUCCAUGGGCUCAACCCAUGAACUGCUCUCAAAACUGUAUCCCUUGAGUAUCGGAGAGGCAAGCGGAAUUCCUAGUGUAGCGGUGAAAUGCGUAGAUAUUAGGAGGAACACCAGUGGCGAAGGCGGCUUGCCGGACGACAACUGACGCUGAGGCGCGAAAGCGUGGGGAGCAAACAGGAUUAGAUACCCUGGUAGUCCACGCUGUAAACGAAGAAUAUUAGGUGUGGGAGGAGUGACCCCCUCCCUGCCGCAGUUAACACAAUAAGUAUUCCACCUGGGGAGUACGACCGCAAGGUUGAAACUCAAAGGAAUUGACGGGGGCCCGCACAAGCAGUGGGUUAUGUGGUUUUAAUUUGACGCAACGCGAAGAACCUUACCAGGAUUUGACAUCCAACUAACGAAGUAGAGAUACAUCAGGUACCCUUCGGGGGAAGUUGAGACAGGUGGUGCAUGGUUGUCGUCAGCUCGUGUCGUGAGAUGUUGGGUUAAGUCCCGCAACGAGCGCAACCCCUAUUGUUAGUUGCUACGAAAGAGCACUCUAGCGAGACUGCCGUUGACAAAACGGAGGAAGGCGGGGGGGACGUCAAAUCAUCAUGCCCCUUAUGUCCUGGGGUACACACGUAAUACAAUGGCAGUCAACAGAGGGAAGCAAAGCCGCGAGGUGGUGCAAAUCCCUAAAAGCCGUCUCAGUUCGGAUUGCAGGCUGCAACUCGCCUGCAUGAAGCUGGAAUUGCUAGUAAUCGCGGAUCAGCAUGCCGCGGUGAAUACAUUCCCGGGCCUUGCACA